Molecule: ribosomal RNA, 429 nt
Filed under: Pseudomonadota bacterium
Lineage: Bacteria; Pseudomonadati; Pseudomonadota
Description: Proteobacteria bacterium partial 16S ribosomal RNA
Rfam family: Bacterial small subunit ribosomal RNA
Source: RNAcentral
UGGGGGAUAUUGGACAAUGGGCGAAAGCCUGAUCCAGCCAUGCCGCGUGUGUGAAGAAGGUCUUCGGAUUGUAAAGCACUUUAAGUUGGGAGGAAGGGCAGUAAGCGAAUACCUUGCUGUUUUGACGUUACCGACAGAAUAAGCACCGGCUAACUCUGUGCCAGCAGCCGCGGUAAUACAGAGGGUGCAAGCGUUAAUCGGAAUUACUGGGCGUAAAGCGCGCGUAGGUGGUUCGUUAAGUUGAAUGUGAAAGCCCCGGGCUCAACCUGGGAACUGCAUCCAAAACUGGCGAGCUAGAGUAGGGCAGAGGGUGGUGGAAUUUCCUGUGUAGCGGUGAAAUGCGUAGAUAUAGGAAGGAACACCAGUGGCGAAGGCGACCACCUGGGCUCAUACUGACACUGAGGUGCGAAAGCGUGGGGAGCAAACAGG